UACGGAGGGUCCAAGCGUUAUCCGGAUUUAUUGGGUUUAAAGGGUGCGUAGGCGGUUCAGUAAGUUAGAGGUGAAAUCCCGUGGCUCAACCACGGACCUGCCUCUGAUACUGUUGGGCUAGAGAUUGGUUGCUGUGGGCGGAAUGUGUGGUGUAGCGGUGAAAUGCAUAGAUAUUACACAGAACACCGAUUGCGAAGGCAGCUUACUAAUCCAUCAUUGACGCUGAGGCACGAAAGCGUGGGGAUCAAACAGGAUUAGAUA
RNAcentral lists this ribosomal RNA (261 nucleotides) under uncultured prokaryote. RNAcentral's name for it is "partial 16S ribosomal RNA". It matches the Rfam family "Bacterial small subunit ribosomal RNA", at positions 524 to 784 of the family's 1533-position model. The record is from RNAcentral.